UGCCAGCCGCCGCGGUAAUACGGAGGGGGCUAGCGUUGUUCGGAAUCACUGGGCGUAAAGCGCGCGUAGGCGGGUCAGUCAGUCAGGGGUGAAAUCCCGGGGCUUAACCUCGGAACUGCCUUUGAUACUGCUGACCUAGAGGUCGAGAGAGGUGAGUGGAAUUCCUAGUGUAGAGGUGAAAUUCGUAGAUAUUAGGAAGAACACCAGUGGCGAAGGCGGCUCACUGGCUCGAUUCUGACGCUGAGGUGCGAAAGCGUGGGGAGCAAACAGGAUUAGAUA
This 279-nucleotide ribosomal RNA is filed under the name uncultured bacterium. Its description in RNAcentral is "partial 16S ribosomal RNA". It matches the Rfam family "Bacterial small subunit ribosomal RNA", at positions 506 to 784 of the family's 1533-position model. The record is from RNAcentral.